RNAcentral lists this non-coding RNA (26 nucleotides) under Mus musculus (house mouse). The record is from RNAcentral. Lineage: Eukaryota; Metazoa; Chordata; Mammalia; Rodentia; Muridae.
UUCAUAGCACAUGACGUCCAAAGAAU